ACAUUCAAAGAGUGCGUAACAGCUCACUGGUCGAGUGAUUCCGCGCCGAAAAUUUAACGGGGCUAAACGUACAACCGAAGCUUGGGCUGCAUCGAAAGAUGCGGGGUAGGGGAGCGUCGUGUAACGGGGUGAAGCAUGAGCGUAAGCGCGUGUGGACUUUACACGAGUGAGAAUGCCGGAAUGAGUAGCGCGAUUUAUGUGAGAAUCAUAAAGGCCGAAAGCCUAAGGUUUCUGGAGGAAGGUUCGUCCGCUCCAGGUUAGCCGGGAGCUAAGGUGAGGCGGAAACGCGUAGCCGAUGCACAUACGGUGGAGAUUCCGUAGCUGUCGAAGGAUUUAAGCAGGGGGACACUGAAGAAGGCUUCAACCCAGGCGUUGGUAGACCUGGGCGAAAGGGACCGAAAAUAGAGUAGGGAAGUGAAGUUGGAAUCAGGCGAGAAAAGCCCUGUGUAUAUCUGAGACACCCGUACCGCAAACCGACACAGGUAGGUAGGAAGAGGAUUCUAAGGCCAACGGGAGAAGGGUUGUUAAGGAACUCGGCAAGUUGACCCCGUAACUUCGGAAUAAGGGGUGCUCAACGGAAGUUGAGCCGCAGAGAAUAGGUCCAGGCAACUGUUUAGCAAAAACACAGCUCUAUGCUAAAUCGCAAGAUGAUGUAUAUGGGGUGACGCCUGCCCGGUGCUGGAAGGUUAAGAGGAGGAGUGAGAGCUUCGAAUCGAAGCCCCAGUAAACGGCGGCCGUAACUAUAACGGUCCUAAGGUAGCGAAAUUCCUUGUCAGGUAAGUUCUGACCCGCACGAAUGGCGUAAUGAUCUGGACACUGUCUCAACAGCCCACCCGGCGAAAUUGUAGUACCGGUGAAGAUGCCGGUUACCCGCGACAAGACGGAAAGACCCCAUGGAGCUUUACUGCAGCCUAAUAUUGGAUUUCGGUAUCUCAUGUACAGAAUAGGUGGGAGGCUGGGAAACAGGGGCGUCAGCUUCUGCGGAGCCACCGUUGGGAUACCACUCUUGAGGUACUGGAAUUCUAACCUGCGGCCAUGAAUCUGGUCGGGGGACAUUGUUAGGCGGGCAGUUUGACUGGGGCGGUCGCCUCCAAAAGAGUAACGGAGGCGCUCAAAGGUUCGUUCAGCACGGACGGAAAUCGUGCAUUGAGUGUAAACGCAUAAACGAGCCUAACUGCGAGACCGACGGGUCGAGCAGUAACGAAAGUUGGAGUUAGUGAUCCGGUGGUAUGUGAGUGGAAAUGCCAUCGCUCAACGGAUAAAAGCUACCCUGGGGAUAACAGGCUGAUCUCCCCCAAGAGUCCACAUCGUCGGGGAGGUUUGGCACCUCGAUGUCGGCUCAUCGCAUCCUGGGGCUGUAUUCGGUCCCAAGGGUUUGGCUGUUCGCCAAUUAAAGCGGUACGCGAGCUGGGUUCAGAACGUCGUGAGACAGUUCGGUCCCUAUCUGUCGUGGGCGCAGGAUAUUUGAGUGGAGCUGUCCCUAGUACGAGAGGACCGGGAUGGACGUACCUCUGGUGCACCAGUUGUCGUGCCAACGGCACAGCUGGGCAGCUAAGUGCGGAUCGGAUAAACGCUGAAGGCAUCUAAGCGUGAAACCGGCCACAAGAUAAGAUAUCCCACUAGGUUAACUAGGUAAGACCCCUUGAAGACUACAAGGUAGAUAGGCACGAAGUGAAAGCGUUGUGAGGCGUUUAGCUAGCGUGUACUAAUCGGUCGAGGGCUUGACCA
Molecule: ribosomal RNA, 1728 nt
Filed under: mouse gut metagenome
Description: bacterial LSU rRNA
Rfam family: Bacterial large subunit ribosomal RNA
Source: RNAcentral